This is a non-coding RNA of Myotis brandtii (Brandt's bat), 74 nucleotides long. The record is from Rfam. Lineage: Eukaryota; Metazoa; Chordata; Mammalia; Chiroptera; Vespertilionidae.
GCCCGUGUAGCUCACUGAUUAGAGCAUCCACCCAAGCACUGAAGGGUCACGGGUUCAAUUCCUGGUCAAGGGCA